GUCUACGGGAGGCAGCAGUAGGGAAUCUUCCACAAUGGAGGAAAGUCUGAUCCAGCACAGCCGCGUGAGCCAAGAAGGCGCUCGGCUGGGAAGCGAUGAAGGCGGGAGGAACGAAACGGGUUACCUGCCCGUACCCGACGGUACCGCAGAAAAGCAUGCUA
Molecule: ribosomal RNA, 161 nt
Filed under: uncultured Sporosarcina sp.
Lineage: Bacteria; Bacillati; Bacillota; Bacilli; Caryophanales; Caryophanaceae
Description: partial 16S ribosomal RNA
Source: RNAcentral